UGAGAGCAUUCAACUUCACAUCAGUGUGUGUCUGAGUAGCUAUCAAGGAACACUUACAUUUAUCUGCUUGGGUAAAAAAACAGCAGGAGCUCAUUAUUGCUCACGGCUAUCCAUUUCAUUGGACUGCCCAAAAAAUUUCAUGCUUAAAUCUCAUAAUUGUUCAGGAAAAACAGGCCAGCUGAGACAUAUUGGUGUUUAUGUUUCAAAUGAUUGGAUUGAAGUUCACAAGGUUUUUCUUCUUGCUAAAUGAAGAUUGUGAAAAUAUGAGAUGAUUCACAGGUGCCAGAUUUUGAUAUACAUGCAGUUUCGAGGAAUAGUUGAUUCUAGGAAACUGAAAACAAGUGGCAUUACUGUCCACCAAGUAGUUUGAUACAGCAUACUUUCAACUAUGUGAAAACACAAAAAUUACUUAGCUGUGUGGCAUAACUUGAACAACUGCAUUUGAUUAAAAGUAAAAGAUACUAGGAGAUCAUGAUGAAAAAUAUGGAGCUUAAUAGCAAACCUAUGAAUGAAGUCAGACUAGUGCUGCUGCUAUAAGAGGUACUUUCCUGUGAAGUUUUUAUGGUUGUCAGCAGCUCUAUAAUGUAGCAUACCAGAAACAGAUACCUUGGAAGCAAUGCUAUUGUCCUGAAAUGGAAAGCGAUAGCUAUAAAAAAGGGACUUUGCAGUGACAUCAUUUUGGAUGUGCAUACCAUGAGAUUGUAAAACUUUACACAAAGUCAAUGACUGGAUUUAGAAAAAAUAUAUGGAUAAUGCUUGAUUUCACUGAUAUGUGUUCUGGCACCAAUCUAUCUGAAACUGAUAUUUCUUUAUGCAAUUCCAGCCCAGAGGAGCUACAGAAUAUGCUGUACAACCUCAGCACUCCAAGGUUGAGUUUGGUGGAUUAUCCUGUGAGCAAAGGGAUCAUAGUGGCUGUCUACUCUAUACUGAUAGCUAUGGGAGUCCUGGAAAAUGUCUUCAUUGUGUAUAUAGUCUUCCGUCGUCGCCACAUGAGAACGGUAACCAACAUUUUCAUCUGUACUCUUGCCAUUUCUGAUAUAACUCUCCUGACUUUUAAUACUCCACUCCAGCUGUACUACCAACUGGUAAAAAACUGGCCCUUUGGACGGGUGAUGUGCAAAGUCUUAUUUGCAUCUUUUGCUAUUCCAAUAUAUACUUCCACCUUAACAAUGCUGAUGAUUGCUUUUGAUCGGUACCGUCUGAUAUUGCAUCCGAUGAAGCCAAGAAUCUCCAAGAGGACCGCAGUGCUACUGAUAUGCAUGUCAAACAUGAUUGCCUUUGUCAUUGCAAUACCCUUGUUUAUCUACACAGAUUUAUGGGAAGAUGAUCAAAAUAAAAGUUUCAAGGCUUUAAUGGAGACUCAGAGGGUAUUAUGUGCCGAGGAAAAUUGGCCAAAUAAAGAUCAGAAGAGUAUCUACACUGUAGUAACCUUUGUCACUCAGUUUCUUGCUCCUUUGGUCAUUGCUAUCGUCCUUUAUGGGCAGAUCUAUCUACGAUUAAAGAAUCGCAAAAAACCUUCCGAACGUAAAACCAGAACCACCAAAAUUUUGGCAGCCAUUGUGAUUCUCUUCAUCAUCUGCUGGUUGCCAUGGAGUUUAUUCUCAACUGUACUCAUUUUGAGGUUAUACUAUUCAGACAACACUUCUGAUAACUACGACACAUUGUAUGAUUUAAUUUUGAAAGCAUUUGCUGUGAGUUCUGCUUGCAUUAACCCUUUUCUUUAUGGAUGGCUGAAUGAAAACUACCGAAAAGAGCUGCGUUACAUAAUUGAUAAAAUCACAGGAACACGACGAAGCUCGACAUAUGAAAUUGCACUUCCCACUGAGGCCCCUUCUAAUGCUCCAUCAAAUGCAUUUGGUCCACCAGAGGAGCGAGAGGCUUCUGUCUCACCUGACCUUGAAACUACAAAAAUGUCAAAAUAUCCAUCAAAUACAAAUGUGACAACUCUGACACCACAAAGAAGUGUCCAAAACAAAAAUUAUCUAGAUGUGCCCCAAAAUGGCAAAAAAGCUACACCCAAAGAGCAGUUCCUAGGACCUCCACCAUGUAACGGACUGAAGGUAAAACUUGUUGGAGCUGAAAAGGGCAGCCUAAACCAUGAAGUAAAAAUUGAGACAGUAGCCAUCAUGAAAGAUAAUGACUCCACUGGAAGUCAAGUUUGCCUAUAGUGCCCAACGUGGAUUUUUUGCUCAGAAGACUACCAAUUUAUGAAGACAUAUUUUUGAAGUAGCUGAUUUCAUAGCCACCAAUGACAGACUUGAAAAUGUAUCCAAAGAUAGGUUUCACACCAAGGGUAACACUGAAAAAUUCUAUCACUGAUACAGAAUAUAUCUUCCUAAUAUAAAAAUGAACUUAGAUGACAAGAACAUUUAUGUCUAUUUAUAUUAAUUUUAUUGAUAAAAAUGUCAAUGGAACAAUGAGCUUGCAGUAUCACUUAUUUACCAUAUCAAGGGUUCUCCAGCUUCAAUGUAAAUGAUAAAUUUAGAGAAGGAUACCAUAACAACAGUCCCUGGAAACCAUGUUGCUUGGUGAAACAAACCCCAGGUCAGCAGGACCCUGAAGAAAAACAGUCUACCUGCCAGGGUAGUGACAUGUAUUUUCACCUGUUUUUACCUGUAAUAAUACUAUAUUAAAAUCAUUUCAGGUGAUCUUGCUUUUUCUGAAGCAAAGAUAUAAGAUUGUAUUCUGGCUUUUUUCUGAAGCAAAGACUUCAGAAUGUAUGUUGUAUAAUGAUAGGUGUGUGCAAAUAGAACCUACAAUUCAAAAAGCUUGUAAUAAAUCAACUUCCUGUACAUUUGUAUGUAACAUCCGUAACAACUGAAAGAAUCACGAUAAAUUAUGCUACGUGUCAUAGGUAGAGCUGUUUGUUUGUUUUUCUUUGUGGUUGGUUGGUUUCGUUGGUUACUUGAUUGUUUGAUUGGUUUUUAUUUAUACAAGGAUAAUGAAAAAAUGUUGAGAUAUAAAUGGAUGUAUACAGCGUAUGUUAGAUUUCAGAUAUAACCUUACAAAAACAUGUUCAUGCUGGUGUUAAAUAUGUGCAAAUUGCCACAGGAAAACAAGGGCAGAUGAAAGAUCAUAUGAAGUUAUGAUGUAGAUAUCUACAAGAAAAUUGUAUACUUUUGGAUAAUAUUUUCAUGAAAAGUGUCUCAUUUCUCUAACACAUCCUGUUUAUCCAAUUUUCACGUUAUAUGGCUCCUGACCAGUAAUAAUGACUUUUUUUGUCAGUCAUAAAAAAAUAUUAGAUAAAAAUAAAAGUGCCACUUGAACAAUUGGAUAAAAAUUUGUGUUGAAGUGAGCCUUGCAUGGGCUUAUUAUCAUAUUUAUCUGUUAUCUUAAAAUCUAUUUAAGCAUGUUUGUUAGAUAAACCAAACUGAGUCAUACAGCUGAAAAGGGUUUACUACAUGUUUUAUUACUGAUGUAGUAUUACUGUAUUACAUAUAUUCAAAGUUUUACUUUGGCCAUUUCUUGAUCAGCUGCAUCUGUAAAAAAGUUAUGUUAUGAGAACUUGUGGAAUAAAAACCUCU
RNAcentral lists this unclassified non-coding RNA (3524 nucleotides) under Lingula anatina. RNAcentral's name for it is "prolactin-releasing peptide receptor, transcript variant X1". Lineage: Eukaryota; Metazoa; Brachiopoda; Lingulata; Lingulida; Lingulidae. The record is from RNAcentral.